Molecule: ribosomal RNA, 400 nt
Filed under: uncultured bacterium
Lineage: Bacteria
Description: bacterial SSU rRNA
Rfam family: Bacterial small subunit ribosomal RNA
Source: RNAcentral
AAGGAAUUUUCGUCAAUGGGCGCAAGCCUGAACGAGCAACGCCGCGUGGAGGAUGACGGCCUUCGGGUUGUAAACUCCUUUUGGGGGGGACGAUGAUGACGGUACCCCUUGAAUAAGGCUCGGCUAACUCUGUGCCAGCAGCCGCGGUAAUACAGAGGAGCCAAGCGUUGUCCGGAUUGACUGGGCGUAGAGCGCACGCAGGCGGAGGCGCGCGUGGGGUGUGAAAUCUGGCCGCUUAACGGCCAGGCGCCAUCCCAUACGGCGCUUCUGGAGGGCUGCAGAGGUCGAUGGAAUUGCCGGUGUAGUGGUGAAAUGCGUAGAGAUCGGCAGGAACACCCAGGGGGAAACCAGUCGACUGGGCAGCACCUGACGCUGAGGUGCGAGAGCGUGGGGAGCGAAC